RNAcentral lists this ribosomal RNA (481 nucleotides) under uncultured bacterium. Its description in RNAcentral is "bacterial SSU rRNA". It matches the Rfam family "Bacterial small subunit ribosomal RNA", at positions 29 to 496 of the family's 1533-position model. The record is from RNAcentral.
AACGAACGUUAGCGGCGCGCUUAACACAUGCAAGUCGAACGAGAAAGCAUCUUCGGAUGUGAGUAGAGUGGCGCACGGGUGAGUAACACGUGGAUAACCUACCCCUUGGCGGGGGACAACAUCUGGAAACGGAUGCUAAUACCGCAUAAGUCAGUCCUAUAAACGGAUUGGGAAAGGUGGCUUCGGCUAUCACCAGGGGAUGGGUCCGCGUCCCAUCAGUUAGUUGGUAGGGUAAUGGCCUACCAGGGCGACGACGGGUAGCUGGUCUGAGAGGAUGAUCAGUCACACUGGAACUGAGACACGGUCCAGACUCCUACGGGAGGCAGCAGUGGGGAAUAUUGCGCAAUGGGCGAAAGCCUGACGCAGCGACGCCGCGUGAGUGAUGAAGGCCUUCGGGUCGUAAAGCUCUGUGGGAGAGGGACGAACACCCUGAGGGAAUAAUACCCUUCAGGUCUGACGGUACCUCUCCAGAAAGCACCGC